Dermacentor silvarum is the source of this 652-nucleotide long non-coding RNA. RefSeq lists it as uncharacterized. Lineage: Eukaryota; Metazoa; Arthropoda; Arachnida; Ixodida; Ixodidae. The record is from RefSeq and is a predicted model, not a curated record. The transcript is spliced from 3 exons.
GGUAUAGUAGUUACGGUGGUUACGAUGCUCGGCUGCUGACCGGAAAGACGCGGUGCGAUCUCGACCGCGGCGGUCGCAUUUUCGAUGGAGGCGAAAAUGCUAGAGGCCCGUCUACUGCGCGGAUUCAGUGCAAGUAAUAGAACCCCAGGUAGUCGAAAUUACCGGAGCCCUCCACUACGGCGUGCCUCUUAAUUAUAUCGUUGUUUUGGCACGUAAAACCCCAGCAAUUACUAUUAUUAUUAUAGCGAUAAAAGUUCAUAAAUUUCAGCAGUGAGUUCUAUUUUUAGACUUCUCUAUACCUGCACGCGUUGUUAUCUUCGCUUUACAACAUGUUCAGAAAGUCAUUUCCAACUCUGCUACAGGACCAUUUCACGGAAGACCAGUUUGAACCGAUUAUUCUCAAGAAUACCGGUGAAAAAAAAGCUAAGGCCAUUUGCGACGCCAAGCAUCUUUUUGCAUCGACCAGUUGCAAAGCCACGCAAGCCACCCCCUAAAAGAACAAGAGUGGACAGUACUGAUGGCCCCAAAGUCAAGAAAAACACACAGGUCGAUGUCGAACCCCAGCCAGUGGACCCCGAGAAUUAUGUUCCUGAUAUGCAACCAGACACGCAGAUUCCUGUCCCAUUCCAGCCAGUAAAUACAGAGGCUGGUG